This 73-nucleotide transfer RNA is filed under the name Malassezia furfur. RNAcentral describes it as "tRNA-Cys". It matches the Rfam family "tRNA". From Rfam's summary of the family: Transfer RNA (tRNA) molecules are approximately 80 nucleotides in length. Their secondary structure includes four short double-helical elements and three loops (D, anti-codon, and T loops). Further hydrogen bonds mediate the characteristic L-shaped molecular structure. tRNAs have two regions of fundamental functional importance: the anti-codon, which is responsible for specific mRNA codon recognition, and the 3' end, to which the tRNAs corresponding amino acid is attached (by aminoacyl-tRNA synthetases). tRNAs cope with the degeneracy of the genetic code in two manners: having more than one tRNA (with a specific anti-codon) for a particular amino acid; and 'wobble' base-pairing, i.e. permitting non-standard base-pairing at the 3rd anti-codon position. Lineage: Eukaryota; Fungi; Basidiomycota; Malasseziomycetes; Malasseziales; Malasseziaceae. The record is from RNAcentral. RNAcentral also lists the same sequence under 1 other name.
GAAUUGUGACUCAGAUGGCUACUGAAAAAGAAUUGCAAAUUCUUUCAUUAGGGUUCAAUUCCCUCACAAUUCU